CCUCCCACCCGUGUUUAUUUACCUCGUUGCUUCGGCGGGCCCGCCUUAACUGGCCGCCGGGGGGCUCACGCCCCCGGGCCCGCGCCCGCCGAAGACACCCCCGAACUCUGCCUGAAGAUUGUCGUCUGAGUGAAAAUAUAAAUUAUUUAAAACUUUCAACAACGGAUCUCUUGGUUCCGGCAUCGAUGAAGAACGCAGCGAAAUGCGAUACGUAAUGUGAAUUGCAAAUUCAGUGAAUCAUCGAGUCUUUGAACGCACAUUGCGCCCCCUGGUAUUCCGGGGGGCAUGCCUGUCCGAGCGUCAUUGCUGCCCUCAAGCCCGGCUUGUGUGUUGGGCCCCGUCCUCCGAUUCCGGGGGACGGGCCCGAAAGGCAGCGGCGGCACCGCGUCCGGUCCUCGAGCGUAUGGGGCUUUGUCACCCGCUCUGUAGGCCCGGCCGGCGCUUGCCGAUCAACCCAAAUUUUUAUCCAGGUUGACCUCGGAUCAGG
Molecule: ribosomal RNA, 487 nt
Filed under: Penicillium expansum
Lineage: Eukaryota; Fungi; Ascomycota; Eurotiomycetes; Eurotiales; Aspergillaceae
Description: eukaryotic LSU rRNA
Rfam family: 5.8S ribosomal RNA (bases 151-303)
Source: RNAcentral